RNAcentral lists this ribosomal RNA (453 nucleotides) under uncultured bacterium. Its description in RNAcentral is "bacterial SSU rRNA". It matches the Rfam family "Bacterial small subunit ribosomal RNA", at positions 28 to 487 of the family's 1533-position model. The record is from RNAcentral.
GAUGAACGCUGGCGGCGUGCUUAACACAUGCAAGUCGAACGGGAUCGGCUGGAGCUUGCUCCGGCCGUGAGAGUGGCGAACGGGUGAGUAAUGCGUGACCGACCUGCCCCAUACACCGGAAUAGCUCCUGGAAACGGGUGGUAAUGCCGGAUGCUCCAGUUGACCGCAUGGUCCUCUGGGAAAGCUUUUGCGGUAUGGGAUGGGGUCGCGUCCUAUCAGCUUGAUGGCGGGGUAACGGCCCACCAUGGCUUCGACGGGUAGCCGGCCUGAGAGGGCGACCGGCCACAUUGGGACUGAGAUACGGCCCAGACUCCUACGGGAGGCAGCAGUGGGGAAUAUUGCACAAUGGGCGCAAGCCUGAUGCAGCGACGCCGCGUGCGGGAUGACGGCCUUCGGGUUGUAAACCGCUUUUGACUGGGAGCAAGCCCUUCGGGGUGAGUGUACCUUUCGAAU